ACAGUCAUUGUUUCCAGACCAGCCGAGCCAACUGGGGAGGAGAGGCCAAGCCCAGGGAGAGCAGUAAGAGGCCCAGCUUGCAACACAGGCCCCCGGCGGCUGGAGUCGGCUCAUGGGUUGCUGGGGGGCAGCUGGUGCCAGCCCUGCUAGACAUGUCCAGGGUCGGGGCAGAGGCCAGGGUGGCUCUCAUCCACAACGAGGCUCCAGGAAGAGGCUCCAGAGGGCCCAGGUCCCUGGAGGAAGACAGAGGGUGGAUUAUCCAUCUCAAGGACUUGGGCAGCUUCUGGAAGUGGCUGAGACUGGAAGAAUGUUGUCACACCUACCAGAUAUCCCUACGUGUAUCUCUACCACCCCCACUACAUAUUCUGAAGAACCAAGGUGCAACAGGAACCUGGAGCCUCAAGAGCCGAGGUGCUCAGGAGGGGCAGCAUGACUCCAGGGCUCGGAAGGAGCCCCUCAGGGGAACCUCAAGAGUGCUGCCUGAGUAACUCUCAUUACACAAAGACACAACUGCAAGAGGAUCCCCAGGCAUUCCCAUGAGAACACAGAUUCUGACAACCCCUCCAUCCCCCACCUUGGUCUCCACCCCAGGACUCACAGCAUGGCAAAAAUCCAAGGGAAGAUUCUU
Molecule: long non-coding RNA, 628 nt
Filed under: Homo sapiens (human)
Lineage: Eukaryota; Metazoa; Chordata; Mammalia; Primates; Hominidae
Description: non-protein coding lnc-ALDH1A3-1:11
Source: RNAcentral